RNAcentral lists this ribosomal RNA (433 nucleotides) under uncultured bacterium. RNAcentral describes it as "partial 16S ribosomal RNA". It matches the Rfam family "Bacterial small subunit ribosomal RNA", at positions 29 to 507 of the family's 1533-position model. The record is from RNAcentral.
AACGAACGCUGGCGGCAUGCCUAACACAUGCAAGUCGAACGAAACCUUCGGGCUUGGUGGCGACCGGGUGCGUAAAGCGGGGGAACAUGCCCUUAGGUUCGGAAUAACUCCCCGAGAGGGGUGCUAAUACCGGAUACUGAUUUCGGACCGAAGAUUUAUCGACUUUGGAUGGGGCCGCGUUGUUUCAGCGAGGUGGUAGGGUAAAAGCAUGCCAAGGCGACGAUCCGUAGCUGGCUGGAGAGGAGGAACAGCCAGACUGGGACUGAGACACGGCCCAGACUGCUGCGGGAGGCAGCAGUGGGGAAUAUAGGACAAUGGGCGAGAGCCAGAGCCAGCAAUGGCGGGUGAGUGAUGAAGGCGUUAGGGUUGUAAAGCGCUUUUGCCCGAGAUGAUAAUGACAGUACCGAGAGAAGAAGCACCGGCUAACUCCGUG